RNAcentral lists this ribosomal RNA (433 nucleotides) under uncultured bacterium. RNAcentral describes it as "partial 16S ribosomal RNA". It matches the Rfam family "Bacterial small subunit ribosomal RNA", at positions 29 to 507 of the family's 1533-position model. The record is from RNAcentral.
AACGAACGCUGGCGGCAUGCCUAACACAUGCAAGUCGAACGAGACCUUCGGGUCUAGUGGCGCACGGGUGCGUAACGCGUGGGAACCUGCCCUUAGGUUCGGAAUAACUCCCCGAAAGGGGAGCUAAUACCGGAUAAUGUUUUCGGACCAAAGAUUUAUCGCCUUUGGAUGGGCCCGCGUUGGAUUAGCGAGUUGGUAGGGUAAAAGCCUACCAAGGCGACGAUCCAUAGCUGGUCUGAGAGGAUGAUCAGCCACACUGGGACUGAGACACGGCCCAGACCCCUACGGGAGGCAGCAGUGGGGAGUAUUGGACGAGGGGCGAAAGCCUGAUCCAGCAGUGCCGCGGGAGUGAUGAAGGCCUUAGUGUUGUAAAGCUCUUUUACCCGGGAUGAUAAUGACAGUACCGGGAGAAUAAGCUCCGGCUAACUCCGUG